AACACGAUGCCGAUUCAAAGAAUUGCAGUAACGGUUUGAGUCAGUGGAGUAUCAGAUUCUAGGAUACGAGAAAACGCAGAAAGGUAUUCUUUUAUUGUAUUUGCAUGGAUUGUAAACUACUGGUAAUAACGUUACAAAACCAAAUCAUUACUUUAACAAAGAAAAAGAAAUAACGAUCAGCCUACGAGAUUAAAGCCCUAAAAUGAACAAAUUCACAACCCUUAAGCGUAUUAAUGGAAGUUCAUGAAAAAAUUGAACAGGAUACGUAUGCUGUCAAAAACUAUUUCCAAAAAAUGAUUUA
Molecule: non-coding RNA, 301 nt
Organism: Schizosaccharomyces pombe (fission yeast)
Lineage: Eukaryota; Fungi; Ascomycota; Schizosaccharomycetes; Schizosaccharomycetales; Schizosaccharomycetaceae
Source: the annotation of a GenBank genome assembly